RNAcentral lists this transfer RNA (82 nucleotides) under Microbacterium sp. RNAcentral describes it as "tRNA-Leu". It matches the Rfam family "tRNA". From Rfam's summary of the family: Transfer RNA (tRNA) molecules are approximately 80 nucleotides in length. Their secondary structure includes four short double-helical elements and three loops (D, anti-codon, and T loops). Lineage: Bacteria; Bacillati; Actinomycetota; Actinomycetes; Micrococcales; Microbacteriaceae. RNAcentral also lists the same sequence under 1 other name. The record is from RNAcentral.
GCGGGAGUGGUGAAACUGGCAGACACGCAGGAUUUAGGUUCCUGUGCCGAAAGGCGUGUGGGUUCAAGUCCCACCUUCCGCA